Molecule: ribosomal RNA, 301 nt
Filed under: uncultured bacterium
Lineage: Bacteria
Description: partial 16S ribosomal RNA
Rfam family: Bacterial small subunit ribosomal RNA
Source: RNAcentral
CAGUAGCCGCGGGAAUACGUAGGGUGCGAGCGUUAAUCGGAAUUACUGGGCGUAAAGCGGGCGCAGACGGUUACUUAAGCAGGAUGUGAAGUCCCCGGGCUCAACCUGGGAACUGCAUUUGUGACUGGCGGGCUAGAGUAUGGCAGAGGGGGGUAGAAUUCCACGUGUAGCAGUGAAAUGCGUAGAGAUGUGGAGGAAUACCGAUGGCGAAGGCAGCCCCCUGGGCCAAUACUGACGCUCAUGCACGUAAGCGUGGGGAGCAAACAGGAUUAGAUACCCCGGUAGUCCCUGUCUCUUAUCC